This 253-nucleotide ribosomal RNA is filed under the name uncultured bacterium. Its description in RNAcentral is "partial 16S ribosomal RNA". It matches the Rfam family "Bacterial small subunit ribosomal RNA", at positions 524 to 776 of the family's 1533-position model. The record is from RNAcentral.
GACGUAGGGCGCGAGCGUUGUCCGGAUUUACUGGGCGUAAAGCGCGCGUAGGCGGCUUUGUAAGUUAGAGGUGAAAGCCCAGGGCUCAACCCUGGAAUUGCCUUUAAGACUGCAUCGCUUGAACAUCGGAGAGGUAAGUGGAAUUCCGAGUGUAGAGGUGAAAUUCGUAGAUAUUCGGAAGAACACCAGUGGCGAAGGCGACUUACUGGACGAUUGUUGACGCUGAGGUGCGAAAGCGUGGGGAGCAAACAGG